RNAcentral lists this transfer RNA (360 nucleotides) under uncultured Microcystis sp. Its description in RNAcentral is "partial 16S-23S ribosomal RNA intergenic spacer". The stretch from base 136 to 209 matches the Rfam family "tRNA". The record is from RNAcentral. Lineage: Bacteria; Bacillati; Cyanobacteriota; Cyanophyceae; Chroococcales; Microcystaceae.
AAAGGGAGACCUAAUUCGGGUAGGAGACGAAAAAAAAGUAGUCCCUACCAAGAAUCAAUCCCAAAAGGUCGGAGCGAGGCGAAAUUGGCUUUCAAACUAGGUUCUGGGUUCACACAAGGCCUGAAUCAGGAACAAGGGCUAUUAGCUCAGGUGGUUAGAGCGCACCCCUGAUAAGGGUGAGGUCCCUGGUUCGAGUCCAGGAUGGCCCACCUGCACAGGUGGCAAAAACAAAAAAGCUCCGAAUCAGCACCUUAUCUUACUUAUAUAGUAAGAGAGAAUGCUGGCUCUGAGUUCAGAGUCCAGAGGAACCUUGAAAACUGCAUAGAGCUAGGUGAAAAAGCCAAAAAAGAAGACCGUCAG